This is a long non-coding RNA of Pezoporus flaviventris, 1878 nucleotides long. RefSeq lists it as uncharacterized. The record is from RefSeq and is a predicted model, not a curated record. The transcript is spliced from 2 exons. Lineage: Eukaryota; Metazoa; Chordata; Aves; Psittaciformes; Psittacidae.
AAGAGAGUCGAUAAGCACUGCAGGAUUUCCAUGGCCAAAAGCAAAGUGAGAAUCAGGCCCUCCACACUGAGCAAUUCUGAUGGCAGAUCUGGAGCAUCUGAUACACUGGAAGUAUGGAAAACAGUCAGAUGGAGAAAAUGGAAACUAGCAGCGUGAUGAUGAGGUGUGUAAGCAGCUGGCUAGAGGAGAGGAGGCAACACAGGAAAGAAAGAGGGGGUUGGGUGGCAGCUGCAAGUGGAAUUUCUUUUCUGUCAGGAUUGUAACUGAAUUUGCUUAGUACCUGGAGCACAAGUACUGUGAGACUGGGGCUGGUGUUAAGCUGAGAGGCACUCAUAUGGAUCCAAGUGCACACAAAAAAAAGCCUGGAAGACUCUUCACACUGAAGGGGAUGAAAUGAAUGGGAUGAAAGCUGACAGUACAAAUAUGAACUCAUGCCCUUGAAGACUGAACAAAGUAUUUUGCUACAUGUCUUGUAAUUGAUAACAAAAGAGCCUUGAUUAUAGAUGAUUCAGAUGCAAUUUGGUAGCUCAUCCUGCACUAGGAGACAGAUUUCCAGUGGGGAUGAAGAUGAUGAUGAAGAUUCAAGCCACUGUGCAGAGGCCAAAGAGAAACUGCAGUUGCUGGAUGGUGAGGACAGAUACUAAAAUGGUAUCAUCAAUAAAGUGGAUACAGUUCUGGAAGAUGAGACCAGAAAAGCUUGAUUCAUUAGCCUGAGACACAAUAACAACUGAUAUCUUUAUAAGAAGAAAAUGAUGAGAAAGGUAAAGACAGUUCUAUCUGAUCAUAAAUACAGCCACAAGGAGAAAAAGGAGUAGAAGCAAGCAGGGAAAAAUAUUGUCUGAAAAUUGUUCUGGGCCUAGAAACCUUUUUUUUCCCUAUCAGGCUCUGAUGAAGAAAGAAAUAACAUUGACAAAGGAGCUUGUACAAGAUGAAGCAGCAGUGCCUGGUGCUGCAGGAUACUGGGCGGCCCUUCCCCAUCCAGCCCCAUUUGGCUACAACAGGAAUUGUGCAUGGGCCCCACUUUGUCUGAUGUUGUCCAUGGCAUUUGCAAAGUUUGGCAUGAGGAGAAUCCUGUUUAUUUAAGGUCCUGCUAAUUGUCAGCAUAUACUCUGAGAAUCAGGCUGUGCUGCACAGUUGCAUUCAAGUGUGCCAGAAGAAAGAUCUGUUGGCAGCUGAACCCUGAUCAGCUGGAUGAGUUUGCCUUCGCAUUGUGAAGCCUACACUGACUUCAAAGCAGAAUUAAAGACAAAGGACCUGAUUAUCUUAGAACAGUAGGUUUGCUUUUUGUAGUGCACCUUUCAAAGAUGUUUCCAGAUGAGCUAAGACCGUAAGAUGAGAUUCACUGCACUAGCACAACACUAUAGAACAAACAAGUAACUCGUUGCAUAGGGCUGCAGAAAGGCCUUCAUUUUUUCUCAUUUACAAAGGGGAGGCAUGGCCACAGUAGGCUGACCAUUGGUUAGGCCAAAUUUAAAAGGCUUUUAACAGGUAACUGAUGAUCAGCUAUAGAAGCUCAAGUAGGACUGCUACAGCAUUACUGCAUUUACAGCUCAUUUUGCACCUAAGAUCAAUUACCUCAUCUGGGCAGGGGGGGCAGUGCUGAAAUGUAUAGUUUGUUUUUGCGUGAAACAGAACUUCCAAUGGUUUUAGGGAAAUGUUUCAGAAAUGAUAUUUUUAUAUCAGUUUAUAGGACUGGCAUUUUCAAAUGUUUUGUAAAAAGAAAAAGUGUACAGAAUAUUUGAGAGGGUUUUUCCAGUUACGUUUGAGGGACUCCAGUGUACUAAUAGUGUUACCGUUUUCUUCAUGUUUCUGUAUUUUUAACUAAGCAUGUGUAUCCUGCAUUAAGAUAAAAGUCUUAAUAUAAUUUGUGCAACUUUU